AGAAUCAACGCUGGCGGCGUGCCUAACACAUGCAAGUCGCACGAGAAAGGGGAGCAAUCCCUGAGUAAAGUGGCGCACGGGUGAGUAACACGUGAAUUAUCUACCUCCGAGUGGGGAAUAACCUAGAGAAAUCUGGGCUAAUACCGCAUAACACUUACGAGUCAAAGCAGCAAUGCGCUUGGAGAGGAGUUCGCGGCCGAUUAGCUAGUUGGCGGGUAAUGGCCCACCAAGGCGAUGAUCGGUA
RNAcentral lists this ribosomal RNA (244 nucleotides) under uncultured bacterium. RNAcentral's name for it is "partial small subunit ribosomal RNA". It matches the Rfam family "Bacterial small subunit ribosomal RNA", at positions 26 to 285 of the family's 1533-position model. The record is from RNAcentral.